Long non-coding RNA from Juglans microcarpa x Juglans regia, 91 nucleotides. RefSeq lists it as uncharacterized. NCBI's taxonomy places the organism in Eukaryota, Viridiplantae, Streptophyta, Magnoliopsida, Fagales, Juglandaceae. The transcript is spliced from 3 exons. The record is from RefSeq and is a predicted model, not a curated record.
AAAAUUAUAAUAAUUAUAUAAGAUAAAAUGAGAUAGUUUAAUUAUGUGUAAUCAAACCAGCCCUAAUGAAAUAGAAAAUGUAUGUAAAUAA